This 303-nucleotide ribosomal RNA is filed under the name uncultured bacterium. RNAcentral's name for it is "partial 16S ribosomal RNA". It matches the Rfam family "Bacterial small subunit ribosomal RNA", at positions 507 to 807 of the family's 1533-position model. The record is from RNAcentral.
AGCAGCCGCCACGGUAAUACGUAGGUGGCAAGCGUUGUCCGGAAUUAUUGGGCGUAAAGGGCUCGCAGGCGGUUUCUUAAGUCUGAUGUGAAAGCCCCCGGCUCAACCGGGGAGGGUCAUUGGAAACUGGGAAACUUGAGUGCAGAAGAGGAGAGUGGAAUUCCACGUGUAGCGGUGAAAUGCGUAGAGAUGUGGAGGAACACCAGUGGCGAAGGCGACUCUCUGGUCUGUAACUGACGCUGAGGAGCGAAAGCGUGGGGAGUGAACAGGAUUAGAUACCCCGGUAGUCCCUGUCUCUUAUAC